GUGCUCGCUUCGGCAGCACAUUUACUAAAAUUGGAACGAUAAGGAGAAGAUUAGCAUGACCCCUGCACAAAGAUGACAGACAAAUUCAUGAAGCAUUCCAUAUUUUU
Tupaia belangeri (northern tree shrew) is the source of this 107-nucleotide small nuclear RNA. The record is from Ensembl. Lineage: Eukaryota; Metazoa; Chordata; Mammalia; Scandentia; Tupaiidae.